GAACUGCGAUAAGUAAUGUGAAUUGCAGAAUUCAGUGAAUCAUCGAGUCUUUGAACGCACACUGCGCCCCCUGGCAUUCCGGGGGGCAUGCCUGUCCGAGCGUCAUUGCUGCCCUUCAAGCCCGGCUUGUGUGUUGGGUCGUCGUCCCCUCCGGGGGACGGGCCCGAAAGGCAGCGGCGGCACCGCGUCCGGUCCUCGAGCGUAUGGGGCUUUGUCACCCGCUCGAUAAGGACCGGCCGGGCGCCAGCCGGCGUCUCCAACCUUUUUUUCUCAGGUUGACCUCGGAUCAGGUAGGGAUACCCGCUGAACUUAAGC
Molecule: unclassified non-coding RNA, 315 nt
Filed under: plant metagenome
Description: partial contains 5.8S ribosomal RNA, internal transcribed spacer 2, and large subunit ribosomal RNA
Rfam family: 5.8S ribosomal RNA (bases 1-105)
Source: RNAcentral